AACGCAUAUAUGCUGGAAAUGCUUUUAUGCGUAAAAUGGAUUCGUCCGCCCAAGGAUGGGUCUUGCGGCCUAUCAGGUAGUAGUGGGUGUAAUGUACCUACUAGCCUACAACGGGUACGGGUUGUGAGAGCAAGAGCCCGGAGAUGGAUUCUGAGACAUGAAUCCAGGCCCUACGGGGCGCAGCAGGCGCGAAAACUUUACAAUGCGGGAAACCGUGAUAAGGGGACACCGAGUGCUAGCAUCAUAUGCUGGCUGUCCAGGUGUGUAAAAUACACCUGUUAGCAAGGGCCGGGCAAGACCGGUGCCAGCCGCCGCGGUAACACCGGCGGCCCGAGUGGUGAUCGUGAUUAUUGGGUCUAAAGGGUCCGUAGCCGGUUUGGUCAGUCCUCCGGGAAAUCUGAUAGCUCAACUAUUAGGCUUUCGGGGGAUACUGCCAGACUUGGAACCGGGAGAGGUAAGAGGUACUACAGGGGUAGGAGUGAAAUCUUGUAAUCCCUGUGGGACCACCUGUGGCGAAGGCGUCUUACCAGAACGGGUUCGACGGUGAGGGACGAAAGCUGGGGGCACGAACCGGAUUAGAUACCCGGGUAGUCCCAGCCGUAAACGAUGCUCGCUAGGUGUCAGGCAUGGCGCGACCGUGUCUGGUGCCGCAGGGAAGCCGUGAAGCGAGCCACCUGGGAAGUACGGCCGCAAGGCUGAAACUUAAAGGAAUUGGCGGGGGAGCACAACAACGGGUGGAGCCUGCGGUUUAAUUGGACUCAACGCCGGACAACUCACCGGGGACGACAGCAAUAUGUAGGUCAGGCUGAAGACCUUACCUGAAUCGCUGAGAGGAGGUGCAUGGCCGUCGCCAGUUCGUACUGUGAAGCAUCCUGUUAAGUCAGGCAACGAGCGAGACCCGUGCCCACUGUUACCAGCAUAUCCUCCGGGAUGAUGGGUACUCUGUGGGGACCGCCGGUGUUAAAUCGGAGGAAGGUGCGGGCCACGGUAGGUCAGUAUGCCCCGAAUUUCCCGGGCUACACGCGGGCUACAAUGAAUGGGACAAUGGGUCCCUCCCCUGAAAAGGGCUGGUAAUCUCACAAACCCAUCCUUAGUUCGGAUCGAGGGCUGUAACUCGCCCUCGUGAAGCUGGAAUCCGUAGUAAUC
Molecule: ribosomal RNA, 1146 nt
Filed under: Methanosarcina lacustris
Lineage: Archaea; Methanobacteriati; Methanobacteriota; Methanomicrobia; Methanosarcinales; Methanosarcinaceae
Description: bacterial SSU rRNA
Rfam family: Archaeal small subunit ribosomal RNA
Source: RNAcentral